Molecule: unclassified non-coding RNA, 235 nt
Filed under: Hevea brasiliensis (rubber tree)
Lineage: Eukaryota; Viridiplantae; Streptophyta; Magnoliopsida; Malpighiales; Euphorbiaceae
Source: RNAcentral
GUGGAAGAGAGAGGCGACUUGGAGAUGUAUCUGUGCCAACAAUUAGCAACACAGAUAGACCUGAGGAUCAAAAGUCAGAAAGUGUGCCAGAAUUCUGUAUUGAUGCAGGUUCCUCGGGAAAUAUGGCCAUUGCCAGGUUCAUUAAUCAUAGUUGUGAGCCUAAUCUGUUUGUUCAGUGUGUUUUGAGCUCACACCAUGAUCUCAAACUUGCUCGGGUAAUGCUAUUUGCAGCGGA